This 484-nucleotide ribosomal RNA is filed under the name uncultured bacterium. RNAcentral's name for it is "partial 16S ribosomal RNA". It matches the Rfam family "Bacterial small subunit ribosomal RNA", at positions 30 to 507 of the family's 1533-position model. The record is from RNAcentral.
AUUGAACGCUGGCGGCAGGCCUAACACAUGCGAGUCGAGCGGAUGAAGGGAGCUUGCUCCUGGAUUCAGCGGCGGACGGGUGAGUAAUGCCUAGGAAUCUGCCUGGUAGUGGGGGAUAACGUCCGGAAACGGGCGCUAAUACCGCAUACGUCCUGAGGGAGAAAGUGGGGGAUCUUCGGACCUCACGCUAUCAGAUGAGCCUAGGUCGGAUUAGCUAGUUGGUGGGGUAAAGGCCUACCAAGGCGACGAUCCGUAACUGGUCUGAGAGGAUGAUCAGUCACACUGGAACGGAGACACGGUCCAGACUCCUACGGGAGGCAGCAGUGGGGAAUAUUGGACAAUGGGGGAAAGCCUGAUCCAGCAAUGCCGCGUGUGUGAAGAAGGUCUUCGGAUUGUAAAGCACUUUAAGUUGGGAGGAAGGGCAGUAAGUUAAUACCUUGCUGUUUUGACGGUACCAACAGAAUAAGCACCGGCUAACUUCGUG